UACAGAGGGUGCAAGCGUUAAUCGGAAUUACUGGGCGUAAAGCGUGCGUAGACGGUUAUGUAAGUCGGGUGUGAAAGCCCCCGGGCUCAACCUGGGAAUUGCAUUCGAGACUGCAUAGCUAGGGUGCGGAAGAGGGAAGCGGAAUUUCCGGUGUAGCGGUGAAAUGCGCAGAUAUCGGGAGGAACACCAGUAGCGAAGGCGACACUCUGGGCCGGUACUGACGCUGAGGAGCGAAAGCGUGGGGAGCAAACAGG
RNAcentral lists this ribosomal RNA (254 nucleotides) under uncultured bacterium. RNAcentral's name for it is "partial 16S ribosomal RNA". It matches the Rfam family "Bacterial small subunit ribosomal RNA", at positions 524 to 776 of the family's 1533-position model. The record is from RNAcentral.